This 573-nucleotide ribosomal RNA is filed under the name uncultured Alphaproteobacteria bacterium. RNAcentral's name for it is "bacterial SSU rRNA". It matches the Rfam family "Bacterial small subunit ribosomal RNA", at positions 325 to 916 of the family's 1533-position model. The record is from RNAcentral. Lineage: Bacteria; Pseudomonadati; Pseudomonadota; Alphaproteobacteria.
CGAAUUCGCCCUUCCUACGGGAGGCAGCAGUGGGGAAUCUUGCGCAAUGGGCGAAAGCCUGACGCAGCCAUGCCGCGUGGAUGAUGAAGGUCUUAGGAUUGUAAAAUCCUUUCACCGGGGACGAUAAUGACGGUACCCGGAGAAGAAGCCCCGGCUAACUUCGUGCCAGCAGCCGCGGUAAUACGAAGGGGGCUAGCGUUGCUCGGAAUUACUGGGCGUAAAGGGCGCGUAGGCGGACAGUUAAGUUGGGGGUGAAAGCCCGGGGCUCAACCUCGGAAUUGCCUUCAAUACUGGCUGUCUUGAGUACGGGAGAGGUGAGUGGAACUCCGAGUGUAGAGGUGAAAUUCGUAGAUACUCGGAAGAACACCAGUGGCGAAGGCGACUCACUGGCCCGUUACUGACGCUGAGGCGCGAAAGCGUGGGGAGCAAACAGGAUUAGAUACCCUGGUAGUCCACGCCGUAAACGAUGAGUGCUAGUUGUCGGCAUGCAUGCAUGUCGGUGACGCAGCUAACGCAUUAAGCACUCCGCCUGGGGAGUACGGUCGCAAGAUUAAAACUCAAAGGAAUUGACGG